Molecule: ribosomal RNA, 249 nt
Filed under: Actinomycetota bacterium
Lineage: Bacteria; Bacillati; Actinomycetota
Description: partial 16S ribosomal RNA
Rfam family: Bacterial small subunit ribosomal RNA
Source: RNAcentral
UCUCAGUUCGGAUUGGGGUCUGCAACUCGACCCCAUGAAGUCGGAGUCGCUAGUAAUCGCAGAUCAGCAACGCUGCGGUGAAUACGUUCCCGGGCCUUGUACACACCGCCCGUCAAGUCACGAAAGUUGGUAACACCCGAAGCCGGUGGCCUAACCGCAAGGAGGGAGCCGUCGAAGGUGGGAUCAGCGAUUGGGGUGAAGUCGUAACAAGGUAGCCGUACCGGAAGGUGCGGCUGGAUCACCUCCUUU